RNAcentral lists this ribosomal RNA (253 nucleotides) under uncultured bacterium. Its description in RNAcentral is "partial 16S ribosomal RNA". It matches the Rfam family "Bacterial small subunit ribosomal RNA", at positions 524 to 776 of the family's 1533-position model. The record is from RNAcentral.
UACAGAGGGUGCAAGCGUUGUUCGGAAUCAUUGGGCGUAAAGCGCGUGUAGGCGGCCAUCUAAGUUUGGUGUGAAAGCCCAGGGCUUAACCCUGGAAGUGCACUGAAUACUGGAAGGCUAGAGGGUGAGAGGGGAGAUUGGAAUUCAUGGUGUAGGGGUGAAAUCCGUAGAUAUCAUGAGGAACAUCAGUGGCGAAGGCGAAUCUCUGGCUCAUUUCUGACGCUGAGACGCGAAAGCGUGGGGAGCAAACAGG